GGCGGGGUGCGUUCAUGCGAACUGAUGUGGUGUUAAAGUGUGGUUUUAAGCUAACUCAUUGAUUCUUGGAAGCUAAAACGGCCUGCAAAGCCGUCUAGACGGGUUCGACUCCCGUCCUCGCCUCCA
This 126-nucleotide transfer RNA is filed under the name Massilia sp. YIM B02763. Its description in RNAcentral is "tRNA-OTHER". The stretch from base 37 to 123 matches the Rfam family "tRNA". From Rfam's summary of the family: Transfer RNA (tRNA) molecules are approximately 80 nucleotides in length. The record is from RNAcentral. Lineage: Bacteria; Pseudomonadati; Pseudomonadota; Betaproteobacteria; Burkholderiales; Oxalobacteraceae.